AUCUACAACAAAAAUGACCGGAUCCCGUCCGAUCUCCGAAGUUAAGCAGUUUCGGGCUGGGUUAGUACUUGGGAGGGAGACCACUUGGGAACCCCCGGUGUUGUAGACU
This 109-nucleotide ribosomal RNA is filed under the name Tetranychus urticae (two-spotted spider mite). Lineage: Eukaryota; Metazoa; Arthropoda; Arachnida; Trombidiformes; Tetranychidae. The record is from RNAcentral.